GAUCCUGGCUCAGAUUGAACGCUGGCGGCAUGCCUUACACAUGCAAGUCGAACGGUAGAGUAGCAAUACUUGAGAGUGGCGAACGGGUGAGUAAUAUAUCGGAACGUGCCCAGUCGUGGGGGAUAACGUAGAGAAAUUUACGCUAAUACCGCAUACGAUCUAAGGAUGAAAGCGGGGGAUUCGCAAGAACCUCGCGCGAUUGGAGCGGCUGAUAUCAGAUUAGGUUGUUGGUGAGGUAAAAGCUCACCAAGCCGACGAUCUGUAGCUGGUUUGAGAGAACGACCAGCCACACUGGGACUGAGACACGGCCCAGACUCCUACGGGAGGCAGCAGUGGGGAAUUUUGGACAAUGGGCGAAAGCCUGAUCCAGCAAUGCCGCGUGCAGGAAGAAGGCCUUCGGGUUGUAAACUGCUUUUGUACGGAACGAAAAGGCUCUUUCUAAUAAAGAGGGCCCAUGACGGUACCGUAAGAAUAAGCACCGGCUAACUACGUG
This 493-nucleotide ribosomal RNA is filed under the name uncultured bacterium. RNAcentral's name for it is "bacterial SSU rRNA". It matches the Rfam family "Bacterial small subunit ribosomal RNA", at positions 15 to 507 of the family's 1533-position model. The record is from RNAcentral.